This 496-nucleotide ribosomal RNA is filed under the name uncultured bacterium. RNAcentral describes it as "partial 16S ribosomal RNA". It matches the Rfam family "Bacterial small subunit ribosomal RNA", at positions 28 to 506 of the family's 1533-position model. The record is from RNAcentral.
GAUGAACGCUGGCGGCGUGCCUAAUACAUGCAAGUCGAGCGAACAGACGAGGAGCUUGCUCCUCUGACGUUAGCGGCGGACGGGUGAGUAACACGUGGAUAACCUACCUAUAAGACUGGGAUAACUUCGGGAAACCGGAGCUAAUACCGGAUAAUAUAUUGAACCGCAUGGUUCAAUAGUGAAAGACGGUUUUGCUGUCACUUAUAGAUGGUUCCGGGCCGCAUUAGCUAGUUGGUAAGGUAACGGCUUACCAAGGCAACGAUGCGUAGCCGACCUGAGAGGGGGAUCGGCCACACUGGAACUGAGACACGGUCCAGGGUCCGACGGGAGGCAGCAGUAGGGAAGCUUCCGCAAAGGGCGAAAGCCUGACGGAGGAACGCCGCGUGGGCGAUGAAGGUCUGCGGAUGGGAAAACGCUGUUAUUAGGGAAAAACAAAUGUGUAAGUAACGAUGCACGUGUGGACGGUACCGAAACAGAAGGCCACGGCUAACUACGU